AACGUACGCUGGCGGCACGCCUAACACAUGCAAGUCGAACGAAGUAGCAAUACUUAGUGGCAGACGGGUGAGUAACAUGUAGGUAUCUGCCCUUUGGCCUGGAAUAACACGAGGAAACUUGUGCUAAUACCGGAUAAGUCUUUACGGAGAAAGCUUUAUGCACCAUUGGAUGAGCCUGCACUUGAUUAGUUUGUUGGUGGGGUAAUGGCCUACCAAGACUGUGAUCAAUAGCUGAUUUGAGAGGAUGAUCAGCCACAUUGGGACUGAGACACGGCCCAAACUCCUACGGGAGGCAGCAGUGGGGAAUCUUGCACAAUGGAGGAAACUCUGAUGCAGCGAUGCCGCGUGAGUGAAGAAGGCCCUUGGGUUGUAAAGCUCUUUCGUCGGGGAAGAAAAUGACUGUACCCGAAUAAGAAGGUCCGGCUAACUUCGUGCCAGCAGCCGCGGUAAUACGAAGGGACCUAGCGUAGUUCGGAAUUACUGGGCUUAAAGAGUUCGUAGGUGGUUGAAAAAGUUAGUGGUGAAAUCCCAGAGCUUAACUCUGGAACUGCCAUUAAAACUUUUCAGCUAGAGUAUGAUAGAGGAAAGCAGAAUUUCUAGUGUAGAGGUGAAAUUCGUAGAUAUUAGAAAGAAUACCAAUUGCGAAGGCAGCUUUCUGGAUCAUUACUGACACUGAGGAACGAAAGCAUGGGUAGCGAAGAGGAUUAGAUACCCUCGUAGUCCAUGCCGUAAACGAUGUGUGUUAGACGUUGGAAAUUUAUCUUCAGUGUCGCAGGGAAACCGAUAAACACACCGCCUGGGGAGUACGACCGCAAGGUUAAAACUCAAAUGAAUUGACGGGGACCCGCACAAGUAGUGGAGCAUGUGGUUUAAUUCGAAGAUACGCGCAGAACCUUACCAACACUUGACAUGUUCGUCGCGACUCUAAGAGAUUAGAGUUUUCGGUUCGGCCGGACGAAACACAGGUGCUGCAUGGCUGUCGUCAGCUCGUGUCGUGAGAUGUUGGGUUAAGUCCCGCAACGAGCGCAACCCUCACUUUUAGUUGCCAUCAUUAAGUUGGGCACUCUGAAAGAACUGCCAGUGAUAAGCUGGAGGAAGGUGGGGAUGACGUCAAGUCCUCAUGGCCCUUACGUGUUGGGCUACACACGUGCUACAAUGGUAUCUACAACAGGAAGCAAGACUGCGAAGUUAAGCAAAUCCCUAAAAGAUACCUCAGUUCGGAUUGCACUCUGCAACUCGAGUGCAUGAAGCUGGAAUUACUAGUAAUCGUGGAUCAGCGUGCCACGGUGAAUGCGUUCCCGGGUCU
This 1306-nucleotide ribosomal RNA is filed under the name uncultured bacterium. Its description in RNAcentral is "bacterial SSU rRNA". It matches the Rfam family "Bacterial small subunit ribosomal RNA", at positions 28 to 1381 of the family's 1533-position model. The record is from RNAcentral.